CCUUAUUGAGUGAUUCAACAUUUUUGUCCGUGCUAUUGAUUGAGCGACUCAAUCCUUAUCCAUCGGAUGUACUCCAUCCACCGGCCAAAGUUUCAGAGUGUUGCACAACCAACAAGCUUAGCUCCAUUACCAUACACUUUGACCAUCUUCGGAUCAGUUUUAGAGUGUUACACAACCAGCAACCUUGAUUACAUCAGUCAAAAUGAUAUCAGCGGCUAAAAUCACUUAAACAAAGCAAAAACAUGUUGUUCACGUAAUCGAGCCAAAAAUGUUAAGAAAAUAGUUAUGCAUACGCCGCAGAGAUUUAAAUUAUGAUACAUCGGAAUAUGCUUCUUAUAGCCCUUCCUAGAAAAUGUAAAAAAGAAACAAGUUACGUGCAAAUAAGAACUCAAUAAGAACACUGUUAUUUAUCGUUUAACGGAACGUCUUUCGUAAAAUAAAACUAAACAAUAUUACAAAAUAAACUUUUGAAUAAAUAACUCCGACUAAGUUUUUUAGAAUAUCUUUCAUAAACGAAACUAAACAGUUUUUACAAACUAAACUUCCGCAAAAGUAACUUCGAGAAAGUUAUAUAGAACAUCUUUUGUAAAAAAAAUUAAACCGUUUUUUUUUUCAUGAAAUAAGCUUCUGAAAAACUAACUUUGACAAAGUUUUACGGAACAUCUUUCAUAAAACGAGGCUAAACAGUUUUACAAAAUAACUUUCAUGAAACAAAACGAAACAAUUUUUUUCGAAGACAACUUCCGUAAACUUAAACAAAGCUUAACAUCCUUAUACGAAAUAACUUUUAAGGGAAAUGAACAGAACUACACAAAAUAAUUAACAUAAAACGAAAGAGGCGGGAAGAGCCAACAAGGAGAUCUUCCUCACCCUCUCUCUCUUCCUUUCCCCUUGUUAAUAUCUCCUCGCCCAUAUGAUCUCUUCGUUGCUCCUACCUCCUCACCGUGAUCUAAAUCGUAAAUAAGCCCAAACAAGUGACAAACUAUCUAGGUGGAGAAGAAUAUGAAAUAAUAAUGAGAAAAGGAAAAUUUCUGAAGAGGAAAAAUACAAAUCUUAGAGAAAAGGAAUAACUAGGAAAAAUGAAAGAGGAUAAGUUUGAA
RNAcentral lists this long non-coding RNA (1100 nucleotides) under Brassica rapa (field mustard). Its description in RNAcentral is "long non-coding RNA (BRAP_LNC001161)". Lineage: Eukaryota; Viridiplantae; Streptophyta; Magnoliopsida; Brassicales; Brassicaceae. The record is from RNAcentral.